CAACUUUAACAUUCUAAUGACCAGUAAUUAUCAAUGCAUCUUGAUUGCAUCUUUGAUCAAUUUCAGGCUGCAGAAGUUGUUUAAAAUCUUCAAUUUCUUUAUCUUUGGCAUUAGUGGUUGGUGCAUAAAUUUGAAUAGUCAUAUAAACUAGUCUUCCUUGUAAGUGUAUGGAUUUUAGCCUAUCAGUGACAACAUUGUACUUCAGGCUAGAUCUUGAAAUGUUCUCUUUGAUGAUAUGUAACGUCAUUCUUUUGACUCUGGUGGAAUAUCCAUGUUUGUAAGACUGCUCACAGACUGUUUUACCAGAGAGUUUUCUGGUACUGCAACAUCUACCACUAAUGUCUGUGAUCCCUUUGAAUUGGCAAAAUAAGAAUAGUGCUAUAGAUUUCUUCCAAAUACAGAAAACAUAAGUAUGAAAAUGUUCUUGCUGUUGAUUAUAUUCUUUACCAAUCUGUUUGUAUGGGAUUUUUGGUACUUCACUUGAAAAAUGAGUCCAAGGUACUGUGAUGUGAUUGUUUACUUUGUGUGGCCUUUCUAGCCAUGAUCUUAUAACAUCCACCCUGGUGCUUGGGCAGGACUGUGUGAUAGGGUAAUUGUGGCUCACCAAGGGGAUUGUUUAUUUUGCCUUCAAAGAGAACCAGUUCCAGAGCAAAGAGGAGGAUUCAACUCCCAUCAAGGAAGAACAGCCAAGAGCCGAGCAUAUAUUAUGGACCUGAGAUCCCUGCACUGAGAAGCUCCUAGAAGCAGGAGACUGAGAUAGAGAGAGGAAGCUGUAACCCUGAAGAUGCUUAAAUACAGACCAGAAGAGGAGUUUGGGGCUUGACACCUGACAUCUUAACACCAGUUCCUGUUUCUUGAGGAAGGAAGAGGUAAAAUAAAUCAGCGUUUGCUGUUUCCUUCUCCAUCCCCGGAAGUCCUGAUGAAGACCCUCUCAGGUAAGGAUUGACAGGGAGUGGCUUGGUUUACUAUUCAACUUUGUCCUUCAGUAACUUUGUUUAUGUCCUGCAUGUAAACUGUUGUGCAUUGAGAAGCAUUCUAAUUCUUGUGCAGAAGGACUAGACCUCCUGCAGAAUGACUAUAUUGUGCCUCCCUCGGGCACCCCUGUCUGCGCAGCACCCCCCAACGCCAACUGCCCAACCGCCUCUCUCCUGGCAUUCUGCUUCUAGAAGCAUGUUCUUUUGAUGCAGAGAUGCAGCACACACAGAAUCCCAGCUGGAUUACAGACUUGAACCUGAAGACCUUAUGCAGAAUGACAAUUUAUGAACCACUAAGCUCAGUACUAAAGCAGCUUCAACUUGAACGUGAAUAUGAGCAACUGAUCAUCUGUUCUGCAGUCAGCCCCUGCCCUGAUUCUGACUCAUGAUAUUGACCAAGUGAAGAGUGAUUCAGAGAAAAACAUGGAUAGAGUGUGACCUAAUUUCCAUAAAAACAAACAAAUGAAUGUACUUACAUGUGUCCCGGCAAAAAGAAGUGUGUAAAAGGGUACAUAUGUAUCUUUGGACACUGGACACUUCAGGGGAGCAGGUACAAUAUACUUAUGUGGGGAUGGCUCUUAUUAUAACUUCUAUAUACAAAUCUCUAUUGUUAAAUGUGUUAUAAGAAUGUAAAAGCUUUUAAAGUUUAAUAACAUCAUACGUGUAUGUGUGUGUAUUUGAAACUUUUUUUCUUUUGACUAUUUUAUAUAUGUGUUUUUUAGUUAUCUAGUUUUUUUUUUAGUGUGGCUAUAGCAGAGAUACCAAAAGUGGAUGGCUUUAACAAACAGAAACUUAUUCUCUCACAGUUUAAGAAGCAACAAGUUUGAAGUCAGGGCACCAGGUCUAGGAGAAAGCUCUCUCUCUUUGUGGCUCUGGGGGAAGGUCCUUGUCAUCUAUCUUCCCCUGGCCUAGGAAAUUCUCAGCGCGUGGACACUGGGUCAAAAAGACGUGCUCCACUCCAGGCACUUCUUCCUUGGUGGUAUGAGGUCCCUCUCAUUUCCGCUCACUCUUCUCUUUGUAUCUCAAAAGAGACUGACUCAAGACUCACCCUAAUCCUGUAGAUUGUGUCCUCCCUCAUUAACCUAACUGCCUCUAAUCCCGCCUUAUUUACAUCACAGAGGUUAGA
Long non-coding RNA from Loxodonta africana (African savanna elephant), 2100 nucleotides. RefSeq lists it as uncharacterized. Lineage: Eukaryota; Metazoa; Chordata; Mammalia; Proboscidea; Elephantidae. The record is from RefSeq and is a predicted model, not a curated record. The transcript has 3 exons.